Molecule: ribosomal RNA, 372 nt
Filed under: uncultured bacterium
Lineage: Bacteria
Description: bacterial SSU rRNA
Rfam family: Bacterial small subunit ribosomal RNA
Source: RNAcentral
GAACCGUGCAAACGUUGUUCGGAAUCACUGGGCUUAAAGGGCGCGUAGGCGGGCUCGCCAGUCUGUGGUGAAAUCCCCCGGCCCAACCGGGGAACUGCCGUGGAUACUGCGGGUCUAGAGCGGGGUAGGGGCGUGCGGAACUAAUGGUGGAGCGGUGAAAUGCGUUGAUAUCAUUAGGAACUCCGGUGGCGAAGGCGGCACGCUGGACCCUUUCUGACGCUGAGGCGCGAAAGCCAGGGGAGCAAACGGGAUUAGAUACCCCGGUAGUCCUGGCCCUAAACGUUGGGCACUAGGUAGUAGCCUUCACAUGGGGUUACUGCCGGAGCAAAAGUGCUAAGUGCCCCGCCUGGGGAGUAUGGUCGCAAGGCUGAA